RNAcentral lists this ribosomal RNA (255 nucleotides) under Escherichia coli. RNAcentral's name for it is "partial 23S ribosomal RNA". It matches the Rfam family "Bacterial large subunit ribosomal RNA", at positions 1088 to 1341 of the family's 2925-position model. Lineage: Bacteria; Pseudomonadati; Pseudomonadota; Gammaproteobacteria; Enterobacterales; Enterobacteriaceae. The record is from RNAcentral.
GACAGCCAGGAUGUUGGCUUAGAAGCAGCCAUCAUUUAAAGAAAGCGUAAUAGCUCACUGGUCGAGUCGGCCUGCGCGGAAGAUGUAACGGGGCUAAACCAUGCACCGAAGCUGCGGCAGCGACGCUGAUGCGUUGUUGGGUAGGGGAGCGUUCUGUAAGCCUGCGAAGGUGUGCUGUGAGGCAUGCUGGAGGUAUCAGAAGUGCGAAUGCUGACAUAAGUAACGAUAAAGCGGGUGAAAAGCCCGCUCGCCGGA